This is a long non-coding RNA of Hordeum vulgare subsp. vulgare (domesticated barley), 1066 nucleotides long. RefSeq lists it as uncharacterized. The record is from RefSeq and is a predicted model, not a curated record. NCBI's taxonomy places the organism in Eukaryota, Viridiplantae, Streptophyta, Magnoliopsida, Poales, Poaceae. The transcript is spliced from 5 exons.
UGUUUCGUAUGUAGUCUUUUAGUGAAAUCUUUAAAAAGACUUAUAUUUAGGAACAGAGGGAGUAGUAACCCAUGCGAUGGGAAGAACAAAGAUACAGUACAAAAUAAGUCGAUCGAGUUCGAAAUACAACUGUGCAGAGAAACGAGUCCCUCAUCAGUACAUCACUGUAGCUGCUUUGAUCAAUCUGUGCACUAUAUCCACCGCAGGCUUAGCGUGGAGCAUUAUUGGCCAGGAUCACGAGUGGUACUGCCUGCUAAUGAGGCCAAGAAGCCCAGCUUAAGUUGUGCUGCUGUGUAGGCUGCAUUAUUGUCCUUGCGUUCCAGGUGUGUGUUCAACUUCAAUCAGUUUUGGCCGAUGCUCCUCCUGCUACAAGACCUCUGUGACUGUGAGCAUGCACCGGUUAUCUGAUCUGCAGAACGCCGUAUUGAUUGGGCAUGAUCUUCUCUGGAGCACUUCCAUUGUGUGUGGUCGCAGUCUGAACAGAGUUUCUUUUUUUUGUGCUUCCGAGUAUGAAAAAGAAGGGUCAUAUUUGUCAAUUCUGGCGGUCUCAUUGAAUGUGUGUAAUAAAUGGAGAUGAUCGUGAGAAGUGGCCGAGCAACUGAAGACUGACUGGCAGACAGACACAGGUCUGCAUGCGCGCGUACGAGAGAACCCGAUCUGGAUCCCCGGGGAAUGAAGCUCUGCAUCUGGGUUCCGGCGAUCGAGAUUCGCUCCAUCUGGGCCGUCCAUCUAAUUCCCUUGAUCUGAUGUGCGGAGGCAAGCAUGACGAUGAAGCUCUGCUGGGAACCUCCUCUUAAUUCCCUUGUCUCUGUAGCUCCACAUGUGAUGUACUAGUACGGGUGAUUUGACAGGAACUCACAUGGUCCGGCCGCAGAGAUCCUCCUGUCGCUCAGUUCAGUCAGCUGGCCUCACUCCGGCUUUGCCAGUGGUAGUUUGUGGGCGAGGAGCCUCGAAUUAUAGGUUGUUUUUUCUUUCGGCUUUCUUCUUUGUGGGAGUGAUUACAAAUUAUACGACUGCUAUGUUCUUGGCGCUUUUUGGCACUAGACGUAGAUGGUGUUUCCAUAAA